Molecule: small RNA, 29 nt
Filed under: Bombyx mori (domestic silkworm)
Lineage: Eukaryota; Metazoa; Arthropoda; Insecta; Lepidoptera; Bombycidae
Description: ovarian small RNA-30966
Source: RNAcentral
UGAAGGGUCUUGUAAAUUUGAUCUGGGUC